UUAGCCUCUCCAGAUCGAGCCGAUUCCCUUAGAGCGAAGCACUGUUGGCCGGCCAGUUUAGCCUCUCGGACUGGUUCCUGUCGCAUCCAGCCUCAGGAUCUGUAAACAGAGGAAAUUCUGCUGACAUUUUUAGUUCUGCAGGAUGUUGAUAUUGAUGAGGAGGUUGAUGUUAUAAUUUCAGAGUGGAUGGGAUACAUGCUUCUGUAUGAGAGGUUGGAAGUGUCAUUACAGCGAGAGAUCGCUAGCUAAAACCUGGAGGUGUUAUACUUCCUUCAAAUGCAAUGUUGUACAUAGCACCUAUCACACAUGUUGAUAGAUAAAGUGAAAGCAUUGAUUUCUGGCAGAAUGUUUAUGGAAUUGAUAGUUUCAUAGCUAUGCAUGCCACACUUGCCAGUCGCAAUGUGGACUGUUGUUUGAUUCCAGAUUCCCCCUUAUUUCUUGAAGGACGAGGUGGACUUUUUGAGUUCAUUGAAGAACGACUCAGAAAAUGGACAUAUGGUUAUUGUGAUUGCUGAGGGAGCAGGACAGGAUCUUCUUUCAGAGAGCUUGUAAUCCAUGAACCAGCAAGAUGCUUCAGGAAACAAGCUACUAAAAGACGUUGGGUUAUGGAUAUCUCAGAGGAUCAAGGUGUUACUCGCAAUCUGUAGAAUUAGUGCUUGGGAGCUUCCAAAGCUAGACUCCAAUGAGGCCAUGAGAGCAGCAAAGCUAGACUCCCUAAGUAAAUUUCUGGAUGUAUAUUGCUAGGAGAGUAGUAUUAGAUGUACUCCUUUUGUAGAUGAAAGAUUACCUUUGCACAAUUUAUUUUGGUGCAUGAUGUGGAUUAUAACAAUUUCUUCUAUAUAUUGAUCAGCUACUGUUAAUUGGAUCA
Rosa rugosa (rugosa rose) is the source of this 868-nucleotide long non-coding RNA. RefSeq lists it as uncharacterized. The record is from RefSeq and is a predicted model, not a curated record. NCBI's taxonomy places the organism in Eukaryota, Viridiplantae, Streptophyta, Magnoliopsida, Rosales, Rosaceae. The transcript is spliced from 5 exons.